CCUACGGGGCGCAGCAGUGAGGAAUAUUGGUCAAUGGCCGUAAGGCUGAACCAGCCAAGUCGCGUGAAGGAAGAAGGAUCUAUGGUUUGUAAACUUCUUUUAUAGGGGAAUAAAGGUAUCCACGUGUGGAUAUUUGCAUGUACCCUAUGAAUAAGCAUCGGCUAACUCCGUGCCAGCAGCCGCGGUAAUACGGAGGAUGCGAGCGUUAUCCGGAUUUAUUGGGUUUAAAGGGUGCGUAGGUUGUUUUUUAAGUCAGCGGGGAAAGUUUGUGGCUCAACCAUAAAAUUGCCGUUGAAACUGGAAGACUUGAGUGUGUUUGAGGUAGGCGGAAUGCGUGGUGUAGCGGUGAAAUGCAUAGAGAUCACGCAGAACUCCGAUUGCGAAGGCAGCUUACUAAGCCAUAACUGACACUGAAGCACGAAAGCGUGGGGAUCAAACAGGAUUAGAUACCCCAGUAGUC
Molecule: ribosomal RNA, 460 nt
Filed under: uncultured bacterium
Lineage: Bacteria
Description: partial 16S ribosomal RNA
Rfam family: Bacterial small subunit ribosomal RNA
Source: RNAcentral